This 76-nucleotide transfer RNA is filed under the name Candidatus Marinamargulisbacteria bacterium. RNAcentral describes it as "tRNA-Val". It matches the Rfam family "tRNA". From Rfam's summary of the family: Transfer RNA (tRNA) molecules are approximately 80 nucleotides in length. Their secondary structure includes four short double-helical elements and three loops (D, anti-codon, and T loops). Lineage: Bacteria; Bacillati; Candidatus Margulisiibacteriota; Candidatus Marinamargulisbacteria. The record is from RNAcentral.
GGGCGAUUAGCUCAGUUGGGAGAGCACAUCCCUUACAAGGAUGGGGUCGUAGGUUCAAGCCCUUCAUCGCCCACCA